CAAAGCUGGUUGGGGAGGGGAGUCAGGCACCCCAGAGGGAGGGAGGGGCCCGUGGGCACGGGGGUGCUGGCCAGGCAGGGACGGACUGGCACCUGCAGGAAGGACAGGGGCUUGGCUGAGCAGAGCAUGGCCAGCCUAGCCGAGGGCAGCCAGCAUCCUACACUCACUGGUCUCGAGGUGCCCAAGCCAGGGGCCCAGGACUUUGGGCAUUACUGGGAAAUGAUGGGAACCCAGGGUGAGGUGGCGUGAAACAAGAUGAGAUGCUCAAUGAUUUGGGAGGUUGGUUAGUGUCAGGCCUCUGAGCCCAAGCCAAGCCAUCGCAUCCCCUGUGACUUGCACGUAUACGCCCAGAAGGCCUGAAGUAACUGAAGAAUCACAAAAGAAGUGACUAUGCCCUGCCCCACCUUAACUGAUGACAUUCCACCACAAAAGAAGUGCAAAUGGCCGGCCCUUGCCUUAACUGAUGACAUUACCUUGUGAAAGUCCUUUUCCUGGCUCAUCCUGGCUCAAAAAGCACCCCCACCGAGCACCUUGCAACCCCCACUCCUGCCCGCCAGAGAACAAACCCCCUUUGACUGUAAUUUUCCUUUACCUACCCAAAUCCUAUAAAACGGCCCCAAACUUAUCUCCCUUGGCUGACUCUCUUUUCGGACUCAGCCCGUCUGCACCCAGGUGAAAUAAACAGCCAUGUUGCUCACACAAAGCCUGUUUGGUGGUCUCUUCACACGGACGCGCAUGAAAGUUAGUACAAUACAGAGAACAUAGGGAGAAAAUAUAAAAUGGCACUGAACACCAAUGCCAAUUCUUAUCUCAUUAUGGUUAUAAUGAAGGAUAUUAUUAAUAUUUGUUAUUUGUUUUUCUUUAGAACAUAAAUCAAUGCCAUUAACUUGAACUUGAGGUACAUACAAAAUACACGCACAACCUUAACUAAUAUACUUUUCAUAAGUAACAUCACAUUUUAAAAUAUUGAAAACUGAGUAUCUCUGCUGAUUUGUAUUUUGACUUAAUGGAACAAGAAGAAAACAACAUUCAACUCGGGAGAGUUAUGCUGAUAAUAAAAUUCUUAAAAUUCAAAAUGUCUUCCUCUCCCUUUGUACUUACCACAGGCUACACAAUGUCCUGAGAGGAUUCAUUAAGAGAAAAAUGUCAAUCACAGCUUUAAUAACUUACUUUGGAUAAAACUAAUGAGAAAGCAAAUUGGAAGGUGAGACUUCAUCUUUGUUUUCUUUUUCUUUGACUUUGAAAAAAUCUGAUUUUAUUUUCUGAAUCAAAAAGAAGUAUUUCAUGUUAAAUUUAGACUGUUUAGCUUUCCACUAUCUCAAGAUACUUUCCAGAUAUUAACAGUACUCAGAACUGUGUAAAAGUGAACAACCAA
RNAcentral lists this long non-coding RNA (1375 nucleotides) under Homo sapiens (human). Its description in RNAcentral is "long non-coding RNA NONHSAT192725.1". Lineage: Eukaryota; Metazoa; Chordata; Mammalia; Primates; Hominidae. The record is from RNAcentral.